CACUCACCUGCCCGCGGCUGCCUGGGAGCAGCGAGUACACCCUCCGGCAUCAUCUUGCCCCCUCGGCCCGGAAAGGUCGGAACUUGAUUGGCUAAAUGCACUUGUCGCUCAUGUACUCAAAGGCUCUACAAAAGGAAGGAUCUUCGAGCGAUCCAAGAUACCGCCUCCAGAAGAAAGUCUACGGUAUGAUUGGUGGAAAAACGCAUGAUAGCUUGAGAAACCUAUCAGCAGCGAAAGAAGGUGGGUACUUCCUCAGAGACUGUCCAAUCACAUAAGGGGCAGUUCUAUAAACGCUUAAGCUUCGGCAGCAGCCGGUCUUUUGGGAGUGAGCGAGUGUUGCAGGCUGGCGUUUUUGUGUCUGUCUGUGAGACACGUUUUUGCCGGCAUUGGUCGCCAAAUGGAAUUCGUAGGGCCGCUCAACUGCAGGCCAGCCUUUCCUCGACUGCUGCGGAAGUCUGGGCUCUGCGUUAGCCGUUUUGUUUAACGUAUCCCUUCAGUCUUCUGACUCCUGUUUUGGAGGGCAUGGUGAGUUGUGCUGCACGCCUUGACUUGCAUCCAGUCAACAAUGGGCAGAAGGAUUUGCUGGUAAGCUGGGCAUCUAUCUGAAUAAAAUUGAAAGUACAGUCUUA
Molecule: long non-coding RNA, 629 nt
Organism: Mesocricetus auratus (golden hamster)
Lineage: Eukaryota; Metazoa; Chordata; Mammalia; Rodentia; Cricetidae
Exons: 3
Source: RefSeq, a predicted model, not a curated record